This 18709-nucleotide long non-coding RNA is filed under the name Ooceraea biroi (clonal raider ant). RNAcentral describes it as "uncharacterized LOC105277414". The record is from RNAcentral. Lineage: Eukaryota; Metazoa; Arthropoda; Insecta; Hymenoptera; Formicidae.
CCGCUUCAGCCGGCCGGAUUAUUGGCUUCUAGUUACCUCGGGCUCGGUUAUCGCGAGCGAGAAAAGAUGCGAACCAGCCGAGAGAGACGUCGUUGUCGUCGUUGCGCCACGAUGCCGACAACGGGGAAGGAGAUUUUAAAAGGAGAGAAAGGCGGGGUGGUGGCGACGGUGGUAGUGUAGAGACGACGUCGAACACCGGCACUCCGGCGGAUGGUUAUUUCAUGCGAGUAGCGAUAACAUUUUCCUAGCAUUUAGUUAAUGGAUGCUCGCUCAUGCUCCGCGCGCCGGCGUUCUCUCCCUUUCUCUCUGUUUCCUUUCCACCCUCCGUCCUUCUCUGUUUGCACCGGUCUCGGUGUGCGUGUGCACAAGUCACACCGUUAUAGCGACGUUAAAACGCCGGCGCGGAAAAGCGCGAUGAUCGUUAUUAUUGCGCGAGCAAAAGCGCGUCCACGGCUCUCGCCUCUCGCUCGUGCGCGCGGAUGCAGGCGGACACGUGUGCGUGAAUACAUAUAUACGUAUGUAUGUGUCUGUGGGGGUGAGUGGGUGAGCGAUUUCGCGCGAAACAUCUCGCUAAAACGUUCUCGCUGGCCGGUGAAACGCUCGCCGCUUUAUUAUCGGCAACGGCAACGGUAUUCAAGUGGAAUUUAUACGCGACGCGACCGCGGCCGCGCAUCGCUCGCAAUUUCCGAGACUGAGUAAUAAACGCGCUCCAACGCGUCAAAUGCGGAGGAAAAUCGGCGGCAGGUAAAUGUCAGAGUCCAGGAGAGAAUCGACUGCAGCUCGAGCAAGAAACGGCGACAAAAGACGGCUCGACAAAUCAGAGAUGCGUCUUGUAGGUAUUAUAUAUGCAAUGCGCGAUAUUGGAUAUGGCUAAAUGAUGCAUCAUGAGUCACCUGCGCACAGGUGGCAUUUUCUAACCAGGAAAGAGCCACACAUCGAUCCAUGACAUGUGAGGCACGUCGUCCGUCGUUAAACUGCGCCGUUCUACGGCAAUAAAGCGGCAUUUAUCGCAAUUAUCGCGACGGGACCGCAGAGACGGUUCCUGGUAACACCGCGAUGUGUCAUAAAUUUCGAGCGGAAUUUUCAGCGUGAUCGCCGCGGAUUUACGGCACGGCCGAUCGCGCGUUAUAACGGCGGCCCGCACGUGUCUCGUCGCGUUUAAACGCUCGCAAUCGCUUCUGCAUCGCCGUAUGGUCUAACAAUCCCGAACAACGUCCGCAACGUGAACGUUCUAUAUAAAGAGCGGUAACGCGGCUGAUAGCACAAAAUUGCACGCUAAAGCUAUCUCCGCGCAAACUAGAAAACGUUUUGCGAGAUUCCGCGGAGCACAAAGCGCGCCGCAAUCCAACUUGCGUCACAUCCGUAAUGCGUAGACGUAAGUCGCAAAUCGCGAGAGUACGUCGUCGCGCUCCGACAGAGCGAUCGAUUCCGCGCGAAAUUGCGGCCAAUUAAUGCUACAAGCGCGGAAUAUCUCGUCGCUGGUCGCGCAGAAAAUUACGCACGCGGACCGCCGCGGGCUGUUAGUUUCGAUAACUGUUGUGCGAAAAGCCGCGGUGAAAUAAACGCGGUGCGACUUGUCCGCUCGCAUGCUCGAGAGAGUAAGAGCGUGUUAUAUCGAGCACAUUUCUUUUUCCCCGACCCACGCAUCACCAACUGUUCGCGAUCGACGGACAUAAAUGCGUAUGCAUCAUGCACGUCGUUCUCUCGAUUAAUCGCUCGCGCCAACUCGUGCGAGUCCAUCGCAAAGACGAAUCCUCGUGACUCGCCGCUCGGCCGUUCCGCUCAUUCGAGCGCCCACUCACUCGCUCGAUGACACGAGCGCGCAAGUUCGUCGAAAUCGAUACGCGCUAUCAGCGGCCGCGCUGGAGCGGAAAGACAUGAAUAAGUAAAGACGCAUAUUACCACGAUGUACGCGGAUAUAACCCCCCGGGCGCCCUUCCUCGUGCGGCGAUAUCUGCACCGCGUGCGCCUUUGCACGUAAUCGGAAGCGCGUUGUUCUCCGCGCGCGGAAAUAGCUUUCCUCUCGUUUCCAUGAUUGACACGAGAGCGUCGAACAAAUUUGUGCGGCAUUCAUUAUUAGUGCGAUUUAGCUGCAUUCAGCUCCGACUACGCGAGGUCUGGAAGCACGCGGAUAAAAUAAAUAUUGUCGAAACAAAUUUUCGCGUCUCGCAUCCCCUGCCGCUCCCGUUAAUGAUAAAUUCGGUCAACAAUUUUAUGGCGGGCUGAACGGGCGCAAACUCGCGAGUGAGCAGCUAGUGAAUGAUUAAUCGAUUCGAACGAGUAUGUUUUUUCUCAAAUAUAUACGUCACGUUAAUCGGAUUAGAGUCGAAUAAUUACAAUUGACGUAGCACUUGAGGGGUGAUGCAAGAAAUAAAGUAAAAGCGACUUCGCUGACUGUUCCAUUUGCACGUGAUGGCAAGUAAAGGGAACAUAAGAACGUGAAAGAUUAAUACAAGCUAUAAAUCACGGCGCGCGAGCCACCGAUUCCGAGUGGCUGAAAGUUUUAUAGAUGGGCAGCAGGCACAAUUAAAUCGAUAACGUUAAUGUGCUCGUUACAUAGAAACUCAACCCAGAAACGUGAUAUAGAGCGAUAUAAAUAUUUCAAUCCGCUCCGAAUGCGUAACGACGUGUCACCUUGCAUCCAUCGAUCGUUGGCGCGGUUGCAUCAUUUCCUAUUAAACAAACAACGUUAUUAGCGAAUAACCACGCGGCGAUUGCGGACGUGAUUACAGUGAAAUUUGACGCGGAAACAAAUUCAAAUAGAAGAAAUUAACCAGCGAUAAACGCUUACAAAUUUCAUUAAUUUGUAAAAGCGCACAUAUUACUCUAUUACGCGUACACACGAUAAAAUAUGUAUCAAUUAUACGUAGCGGAAACAUAAAAGCACGUAUUAUGUAAUAUACAUAUAUAUUCUCUAAUAUUUGCAGAUAUUCAUAUUGUUACUUGUACGUACAUGUGUAUAAAUUACAUAUAAAUACAUGUAUACGACGACACAAAAUGCGGCAGGGAGGCUACAAUUCGCCGCCGGCGAGUAAACAACGUCAAAACUGUUCGCCGUAAUCGACACGAGAAUGGCAGAAUUAACUCGCGCAAAAAUCGACGGGUCGCUCCGGAGGCCGCUGAACUCCCAUCCGCGUUUUUUUCCUUUUCCCUUUUUUCCCCGCGAAUAUUCUAUUUGACGGGCUCAUCCAUUUUUGUGCGUUCCCGGCCGGAGCGUUCUCGCGCCGACUAAUAUACACGCGUGUCACCCGUGCCACGUCACGUCGCGAGCAUCGCCGGCUGCGAUUUCGCGAUGGGUAUUCGGAUCACUGAACUUACAGGCAUUCAGCGCGAACGGACGGAUGCGUGGAUAAAUGUGGAUUCACGGUGAAUGAGAGGGCAGAAGAGGAAGCGGGAGGAGAAAAGGGAAGGGAAAAGUUAAAGAGAGACAAAGAGGGAGCGAAAGAGAGAACGAAAGUUCGCCUCUCGGUUCUCGACCGAGGGAGAAAACCGUCGGGCCUAAACCGCCGUUAAAUCGCUCUCUCGUUUGCAUCGUCUCUACCUGCCUUCGAAUGAGAUCGCGUCCAUUGUGUGAGCGCACCGAGGGAAAAAGAGAGGCAGAAUGCGAGAGAAAGAAAGAGAGAGAGAGAAAGGGUGAGCACCCUUCUUGUUCGUGGCUACCGUUGCAGCCCCUCGUGAGACGCGCGCCUCGGAAUACGGCGCCGAGACUUGGAGUCGCGCUUUUUUCGCUGGCCGCCAAUCGAUAUUUCCGGUUCGAAUAAUUGCGCGACGCUUAUUCAAGCCACCAUACCAGAUCAAUACUCGUGUAACGCGUACGGGAUGACUCACAUGGCUCCAUGGCGAGGCGGAACGAGUCUUUAUCGCGCGAUCGGGAAUUAUAAUAAUAUUAAACGGUAAUCGCGUGACUCGAAAUGCUAUCGGAGACACAUCGGAGGUAGCGUCAUUAACAUAAGCGGGCUUCUCCAGUCGAUCGUUUAGCGAGCGCUUCGAUUGCGAUGGGAAAUUGUAAAAAUUAUUCUCGCACACGUACGAGAUCCUUGAUUGCACACGGAAGAAUGCCUCGUCGCUCCAUCAUCGUUUCCGACAGGAUUCGUUCUCAGGGUACGUGCGUUAGUUUCGCGGGCGAAGCCCUCGCGUUGGCAUAAGCAAGGAUUAAUGUCAGGAGAAACGUUUCGAGCGGUACUCGGCGAGCGGAGACGCCGGAGAGGCGAAGGCGAAAAACGCCCGUACAUCCUCGGUGCAUUCUGUGUUUACGGGCUGUUAACUGCGUGCGACUGUCUCGAGUUACAUCAAUAAACACGUACAUAGAUGCGCGCGCACGUGAUGCAACGACGAAGAGGAGGAGGAAGAGGCGACAGGCGAGAAGAGAGGCAAGAUGAGGACGAGAGAGGAGGAGAGCGAAAUAGAGAGACCAUUUAUUAUUAUUCAGCCGGCUCGUCUUACAUCAAUAAAUAUUUAUCGACAGCCGCAUGCGCGCCUCUCGUGCAAGCGGGAUGCGCGGACUAGCCGCAUUAACAUAAUCGUCGAUGCGGACAUGAGGCGAGCAACCGAAAACCUCCCCGGAGACGAAUCUGCACGGAGAUUUACGGAACUCGAGCUUUUCAGCGUCCGUGAACGAGCGCGAGAGGUCCCACGAGGUGAUUCUAUUGAAAAAUGCACGAUUAAUUUCGCAAAUCGCAUGCAUUUCCUGGACGCUCCCUUCAUUAUUCGGUAACGUUUGUUUGAGAAGAAUGCAGAAACUUGGAGCUAUAGAUUCGAAACAAUAUCAACCAUUUCGCUUUCCUCUUUCCUUCGCGAGAGAGAGAGAGAGAGAGGCAGCCAGGCAGACAGACCUUCCCUUAUUUCGCGGUAUCCGCACGAAACCUCGGCACAAGAGACUAAUUGGAUUUCGCUCCCUCGACACGCUAAUGACCGUAUUCCAUUUCCGCGGCUCGAGGUAGUCGGCGCGAUGCAUCUCCUCGCACGAUCUUCCGGCGGUCGGUCGUGGCGGCAUUCGAGCGAAAAUCGCAUUACCGCCGCGGUCGAAAGAGUUCCGUUCCCGCGAGUGCUUAAUGCAAAUGUUAGAAAAGGAGAAAAAAAAGCAAAGGAAGAAAAAGGAAAAGGAGAUUCGCGUUCCGUACUCUGAGAGAGAAAGAAUGAGAAAGAGAAAGGGGAGAGGAGAGGGAAGGAUAGAAAUUCGAAAGAAAUUCUGUAAUCGCGCCGUGUCCUAACGCGAUUAAAUCUACCGUCCAUGUUGUAAAGUCGAUACGACGUACGAUAAGUCGUGGCGAAUAAACGGUUUAGGUAGCGCACAUGGAGAGAUAAGACGCAACGCGUUAAUAAUUGCCCCUCAACCGAAGCAUCGGUCUCCGUAAUUCAACGCUAAUUUACGAUCGGAAUUCGUACUGCAAAUAUAGGUUUAUUCAUCCCGGCGUGCCAUAAAUUCGCCGAUGAAAUUACUCUCGCGUCUCGUGCAUCCCGAGAAAUAAAGGCGACAGUCGUUAGCUCCCAAGGAGGCUGUGUGAAGCUUUUCAAUGCUUUUCCGCCGCAAGAGAGAUGCCCGACCAUUAAUCGGCGCGUAUCGCCCCGCGGAUUUACGGCGAGCGUUUUAUUGAUCCGGACGUCAAAGUGCUCGUGCGCUACCAUGAAUUCAUAUACACGAGACGUUUUCGGGUGGGAGGGUACUGAUACACGACAGGUGCACGCGUGAAGAGCGACCCGCGUUCAGCACCCUUUCCUACCCCUGAAGAGCCGAGCGGCCGUUUCUUGAUCGCCCGGUACGUCAAUCGCGCGGAUGCACAUCAAUCGCGUUGUACGUGCACGCUGUUCUUCCGGCAACAUCGAUUUCAAGGUAUCAGGAGUGUUACCGACAUCGCGAUCCGCAUCAGUCGACCCGUGCAUGAGCGACGUUACCGUCGGCCAGUCCGCGAGGCGUAGCUGCAAAUGCGCUCGAUUCGCACAAUGCGAGAGAUGCGUCUUCGAUCCGGGAAGAUGGAAAUGUUCCAUCCACUCAUACAGGAUCACUCGGCAGAUUGAUCCGUUUCACAGAACCGCCGUCACUCCGCGUGAGCAGGCUAAUACGAGAUUUAAAUCUUUCCGACACUCCUGAGCUUUCGCAGACGUAAAAGCAUAGACCAAUACUGAAUAAACAAGUGCGUUAUCCGUUUGUGCAAGAAACUGCGCGAUAAUUUGUACACAGCAGUAAUGAAGUUAACGUCUCGAAUUAAACAUUCGUCUACAUUCGCGCGAAAUCGCACGUAUUUUUGUUUCCCCGAGUGAGUAAAUUCCGCGCAACGCAUUUCGCCAUGCAAAGCCGACUUUCAGAACUGCGCCUCGCGUUUAAUUAACGAGCACGCUCGAUUGCGAGCCCAUGGCCUCGAGGCGGCGCGAACUUAAUGACGAUAUUAUUCGGAGUCCCGGCUCGCUCGCUCGCUCGACAAGUAUAUCGUUUCAAACAAGGUGGAAGAUAGAGGAUGACAAGACAGAGACGAGCAUUGCGUGCGACCCAGAUCGCUUGAAUCACCGCGAGUCGCUUUAUCUAUUUUUAAGCGCGGGUCUAUAUUGUAUUUCGCGAACGCGAAAGGAAGAGGAAAGGAGAGAAGAGAGAAACACCGUGCAAAUCGCGAUGCGUGACGUUAUGCGCGCGGUGAGGAAGCGAGCGGUUCCGCUCGGCGGAAAACGUGGUAUUUAAACAGAGCAUUAUUCGUAGAAACACUCGGAACUUAUCACGUGUUAGGAGGAGGUGCGCAAUCUGCCGAUCUCAUUAAAGACUGAGCACGAUACAAUCGGAAAGCUUAAUACGACCGAGCGCGAAAAGGAGGCCGCGCGUAAAAUUCCGGACCAGCGUUCUGUGACGCGUGUGAAUUUCAAAUAUCGCGUGUGUAGGCGUUAAACGAAACAACACAAGCGAUUGUCAUAGGCACAUUAGAUAAGCGGGCCGGAAGCGCAUCGCUUUCAUCAUCGCUUUAACGCAAAAAAUCGGCGAUCGUAAUUGAUGCCGCAUUCGCGAAUCGAAGUCACUCGGAGUGAUAAAUUAAUCGAACGGUAAAUUAACGAUUGAAAUCAACGGGCAAGCAAUUCCACCAUCACUUAUUUAUUCCUCCAAAGUAACAUUUUCGGAAAAGUCCUUUAACUUCGCAAUCGAAUCAAUGAAGAACUCUCGAUGUUUUCGGCGAGGAACAAUCGAUUGCGAAAUUGGCCGAGGCACCUGCGAUAAAAAAAAAGGAAAAACGAAAAAGCGAAAGCAAGAGCAAGUGGUUUCGGGACAGCCUGUAUUUUUCGACACGCCGAUCGAUAAGACCUCGGUACAUUACAUAGCCGCGAAAAUGAAAUCCUCUCCAUCGGCGCGGGCCGCCGCUUCACAGCGCGAAUGCGCUUGGCCGGCGGAUGCAACGCGCGUCGAAGGGGCGCAUUUAUUACGCGGACGCGCGAUUGUGUCAGCGCGCGCGUGCGACAUAGCGACACAUUACGCACAUGCACGCACGCAUGUCACGAACGCACGAGAUGACCACGAACGAGAGAAACACCGCGAGUUUAAAAGCGCGGAAAAAAAAUCACAAACGCGAUUGAACGUCGCCAGUCGGCCGGCCGACAAAUUCUUUUUUUUUUCCUUUUAUUCGUGCGCGAUAUGCGCGCCGAUCGAUACGCGCGAUGCCUGUUCGCGGGAUUCGGCGACGAAAAACACAGAGCGGAAAUCGGAUUGUCUCGAUGCAGCACGACGUCGAUGACGAAUAAAUGUGUCGAGGAUCCGAGCCUGGGAAAACCAUGGGAAAUGCUCGCGGCUUCCGUGUAUUAUUAAAUAUUUAGGACAGAUCGCGAUGGAGAGAAAUGUGCUGCUCACUCGCUCGUCCGCAUUUCCGGUAUGCGCGCCGUGGUGAUUUUCGUGCGCGUACCGCCCGCGGUGACAUUUGUUUUUAGAAAUGCGCAUCGGCGUACCGGUGCCAACACGCGGUGUCGGAAUGAUACAUCGAUAAACGAUGACGCGCCCCGUAGAUAAUCACGAGCUAAUCGGCUCGUUAGUUCUCCUCUGGCGAUUUAUCACUUAUCACAUGGCGUCCCGCUCCGCAUGGCGCUCAUAUCGAAGAAACGAGCAUCGCCGCCCCGGCGGCGUUACGGAAGUUGAAUUAACUCCGGCGCGCUAAUACCGAUUCCGCCGAAAUGCGAUCACCGUAUUUCAACGGAUAAUGAUCACGGCACUCACGCGGGGAGGAACUCGAGCGAAAGACGAUGAUAGUCGUGCAAAACGAGUGCAUCGAGCGCAGCAAUCUACGCGCUUCGCCAUAAUUCGAGAGAGAUUGUUAUAUUAACAUAUCUGAUAAAUACCAUCAUCAGCGCUUUCGAUUUACACACACAAAUAAAUAAGCUCGCUCGCUCGGGCGGCCUUGCGCUCACCCCCGCACAGAAGCGAUCCGCCUAUUGAUUACGCGCGGCAGGCGCGCACUUGCCAAUUUAUCCGUAGACAGAAAACGCGCCAGCGCGGUCUCUCUCGCCGCGUGUGUGACAAUAGGAAAGCAGGAAGGCCCCCGCCACUCGGAUUCCAUGCAAUCAAUGAGCUCUGGCGGUGGCGGCGGCGGCGGCGGCAACGCGACCAGCGCGCGGAUUAAUCCGGCUUUACGACGUAUUUUUUUCGUCCGGCUCUAUUCCGCUCUCGCCCUCGUUCCCUCGCGCGUUUCCCCCUUCGUUUCGAGCGAGCCGAUACCCAACCUCAUGCUCUCUCUCUUCCUCCUCUCCCUGUCGGUCCUGUAUUUCCUCGCAUUUCCCCCAUGUGCAGCCUCCCCCGCAUCAAAAUACCGCGGAGAGCGCAUUAAGGGGCAAAGUCGAUCCGUCGCGCCAAUUACAUUCGAGACGAUCGUUGUUCUUGCCCCCCUGGAUCACUCCCUAGGUCCCCUCUGGAUGGAGAAACGAAUUCCAUGAGAUUCGAGCGACUCGGAGAGAAUUCAGUGAUACUUUCACCGUUCUUUGUACGUGUCGUCGAGGGAAUAAGAAAUUGUCAAAGAGAGAGAGAGCUACGCCUCUCGAAAUAAUUAUUAGGAGUCAGUGAAAAAGCCGAACACCGCUUUGGAGGCGUGUGUGGAGCGCCGCUGGAUAUUUCAUGUUAAUGCGAUUGCGUUAAUUAAGUGAUUGUUCGUGUCGGAGAAGGCCCGAGUAAUGGUAUGUUAAUUAUCAACCGCUGCGCGGCGUGCAUACGAUUUCUAAAUAUACACGUUCACGUGUUAAUGAACACGGAACUUUAUGGUUACGAGCGAAAAAAAUAGACAUAAAUUCGACGCUAUUCAACAGUGACGCAAUUAUUCAAAAUGAUCGACCACUCCGGCAGUUUCACUUUGAAAACGUUCCCGGCCCGGCUUUGGGCGAAACGGCACAAACUUCUUAUUGCUCGAAAAUGUCGCGCGAGAGCGCGUCCAAAGUUUAAGAAAACUGUCGCGAGGAAAGGGAGGAAAAAAAAGAAAAGUAGCAGCCGCCUCCUCGACGACGAGGGUGAGAAGCCUGAAAGUUUUCAGCGGGGAGCCAACAAGAGCGCGGAUGGCAAAGUUUUACAUAGUUAUUCCGGGUUAUUAAAUAACGUUACUCUCCCUCCCCUCCCCCCGCCACGUAUACCUUUAUAAAUAGCGUUUGCCGACAGCCACAAAUAGACUGGGCAAUAAAAAAGUAGCUACGACCGACUCGCAAUAUAUUUCUCUCUUUUAUGGACAACUUUAUUCAGCACAUUUCAGCGUUAUACAGCCCGCUAACAUUGCUGGAAAGAGACAUUAAACGGAAAACCUCUGCCUCUUUUUCCGCUUGAUAUCAGAGAUAUCUCUCGUGAUUGACAGCGACGAGCUUUCGGCAGUGCGCUGACGAAAGCCUUUUACCGCGCGCGCUCGCGCGAGAUAAGUAACGAUCGGGAACCCUUUUGAAGUUAAUUAGGCAGUCGUAUUUUACAAGUUUGCGGAAACGCGCGCGGAGCGCGAACGAGCGAGCGAGCCCACGGAGCGUACCUGUUAGGCAAACAGAAUUUAUGCGAUGCGAUGCAAGUGCAAUCUUCCGCCACGUUUGCGGUGCGCGAAACAGCCGAAGGAGAAAGGCGGAGAUAUACUUCGCGGCAAUUGAGGCUAAAUUGAACUCUACCUGGAAGUAAAAGAAAUCGAGGUGCAGUUGCCUCGUUCGACUUUCACGUUGGGCAAUUCGAUUACGAGUUAUGAAAGCGAUCUGUACAAGAGCGAGCGGUCUACGUGUGCGCGCGUCAAAUAAAAUCGGUUUGCGUCGCCACGGGACUUUAAUUUCGCGCGAGCAUCAUGCUGCAUAGACGAAAAUCAAAAACGCGCACGUUCAUUUGGAUCGCCGAACUCAAUUAUACCCGUUUUACCAUGACCAAGAAAAUACGUUAUUUGUUGAUCCUUGUCAAGGCUCUUUUUUAGUCUUUUGUGUUGUGAAGAGGAUACGUAUUUAAUUUCAGAAACGAUGUAACAUACGAUGAUUCUCCGAGAUAAAAAAAAAAAAGAAUUAGCGAGUAGAAAUUGACAGUACAAAUAUAUUUUAAGACUACAGGAAUUUUUAUUUAGAGAUAAAUGAUACUUUGUUGACCGAGCAGAUAUUAGACAGUAACGCGUGUAAAAUAUAGCGCAAAUUCAAUGUCAAAUAUAUUCCUAUUGACAGAAGUGCCUGCUACGUUGUAUUAUCAUAUCGUGACUCAUACCAUCAGGUGAGAUAACUAACCUGUUAUAAAUGUGAAACUUGACAAUGGCACGCAAAGUGUCGCCCAGUGUUUCGAUGAAACGUACAACACUAAUCUAAUAUCGCCACGCGACGUUACGUUGCUACAAAAAUUAUUUUGCGACGCUUCGAAAAGGCAAACAUGUAGAAUGACCGGACGUAGAAUAAUUGGAAAUGAAUUUCGAUAUUCCAAUAUUACGGUAUUUGCUGUUAUAUUAAAUAUUAAUGUACUAAUAACAUACAAUGCUAUUCAUUAUAAAUAAUAGUUUGUUGCAGAAAAAGCAAAAACGACGCAAAUAAGUUCGGUAUUUUCAACUUAUCAGACUUUACACCACAUUAACAAUCUUCAUCUGUAUCUCCAAAGAGAUUGCAAAUUACACGAGUUACGAUAUGCGAUAAAAAAAGGAAAAAGAAUGCGAGCGAGUAUACCGUAGGCGUCAGACAAUCUUAAACAUUUAAACGUUGCACCUGUAAACAGCUAAUGCGGAUUACGAUUUGCGUCAGUAGGCCAUUUUCGACGGCGCGAUAAUUAACGCUUCUCAUUUCGUGCCACUGUUAGCUCCACUUUUCACGGUGCGCUGACGCAAAGUGCUUCUUUUCCAAGAAAACAAAUUAAAAAGAUUGGCAUCGGCACCGUUGCCCAAGUUAACCGUAGAAGUAGGAAGCGAGCGGAAUACGUCGUGCCUUAUCGCGCGAUAAGCGCGCUCCAGACGCCCGCCGGGGGCUUUUAUAUCCGUAAGGUUCAUAAAUUAAGCAGAGCCCGUUAACAUCGAAGAAAUAAGGACGAGGAGUGGCUGCCACGUUGGCAUGGGGUCGACGUGGAAUAAAUUUAAACGCGUCUGUCUGGCACCUAAAUGUGUCUCGCGAAUUAUUGCUCGAUUUGCGAGACAGCCACGACGUUAAACUAGUGCCCGCGCUCGAGGAAAGUGAGAUGGAGAAGAGAAAGGGGCACCAAGAGCGGACCAAGAUUUCAUCUCGUUGCGAUCAAAUUCCUGACGGCGCGAUGCAUAAUAAACCCGCGAUAUACGAGCGGAGUGACGCUGGGAUUUUUAUCGAGCAGCGCGUCGAAAAGGUUUAAUGCGUGUUUCAUCGGCGUGCCGAGUGUACCUUAAAAUUAAACGUGCUCUCAUCGCGCCGAUUUCGCCUGCACGAGAGCGCGGGUCGUGAAACUUUUAUGAAUCCGUCAGAAUGAUUCUCUGCGAAUAGUUCGAAUGCAAAGAACCGCAAGCGCGUUGUUGCACCGUUUCAAAUUAAUUCCGCGCGGAGACGCGGUUAAGAGCGAUGAUAAUCCGCGAUACGUAUUAUUCGCGGUCGGAGAAUAUUAAUUUCCGGGUUCGGCGAGGUCGAAAUAAUCCCUGCUGUGCAUCUGAGAGAGGAAAUAGGAGAGAAUAAGAGAGAGGGGGGGGGGAGAGAGAGAGAGAGAGUAAACCGAUACGACAUCACAGAAGCAAUAAUGGGGUUUCUAUCGUUGUUGUGCCGGAAUUAAUACGAGCAAGGAGCGAUCAGUGGUCGCGCAGCGCAAGCUACUUGCUCGCUCGUUCGAUGCGCUUACGUGGGUGGCUCGUUAUCAGCGCAAAUUACCUUUGCUCCUACGCGCUUAAUUUAGUUCCGAGCGUGCAAUAAUAAUGCUCGCAUGACGCGCGAAAUUGCCGUCGAUCGAUGAUAGUGGCGAUUCAAGAUCAAAUCGGGCUCCGCCAGCAGCGCGAAGGAUCGCGAUACGACGUUCAAUGGCGAUUGUCUCCCUCCCCCCUCCUCCUUGCUGUGCAUACCGCAAAACGUGCAAUUACGUAACAGAGAUUCAUUGUAAAACGCAGAAACAUGAGCGAUGUCACGCCGCCGCGCGUAUCCACCGCUGCUUUAAUUACCUUUAAUGAUCGGUUAACGUUUAAUCUGUUGUGCGCAUGAUAAAACAUCUAGCUUCACGAUCAGAAAUAGCUUUUAUAAUCCCCACCGUGCUAAUGUGUAUAUUAUUGAACGUUCGUUACGUGGCACCGAAUAGCACGUACCUCGCGAAUGAUAUCAUUAAUACGGGCGCUCCGAGGCCAUACAUAAUGGCCACUUAACAAUUUUCGCUCGCAGCAGAAAUUCAAGAAUUGAUUUCCGAUGAUUUUUGCAUGUUUCUUUGUCCAGCUUUUGCAUCGUGCGUAAGUACCUCGCGCGUUUUACUCCAUCGCGCUCUGGCAUGUACGAUUAGAAGCAUCAGCGGCGUAUAACCGCUGCUUUAAUAAUACGCCGGCUGGAAAAUAUUUUCACGGGUAAUCGCGGGUAAACGUAGAUUUUUCAAAUGUUUAACGGAGGCUUAUCGCGAUGGCGCACAUACGCUGCGGCUUUUGUUUAAUCGCUACGAGACGCUGGAACUACAUGGUACAUAUACUUCGAACUCAACCAGGUGCGUAUUCGCGAUGCUAUCGGCUCGGAAACACGCCACGCGGCGCCGUACUGCGUACAAUCAGCACCGCAAUAAAUUACGUUCCGCGUGUGUUCCUCGCUAGAUCCCCAACGACAGGAAACCAAAAGGAGAUAUAAGACGCGUCUGAAAAAGAUGUCCGUCGACAAGUACGUGGGAAAGGCUGUCGCACCAGACUCAGACAGAAAAAAAAAGAACCGAGAGAAUGCCGUAUAUGAAACUGAGAGACGUGCGUUCGGAUCCGUCCACAUAUUCCACGAGGCGUUGACGUUUGAUCUUUAAUUAGCAUAAAAUAGUGAUCGCUAUUAAAAGAACCGCAAAAAUUUACAUAUAAUCUCCUACAUUCUAGACAUUCGUAUAAAGAAUUGAAAGCCAUCACGCAGUAAUUGCCGUCUCUUAUUGUAGCAAAGGAGACAUUAAUUAUGAUUCCGAUAAAUACUAUUAUAGUAUUAUUACUGAUUUAAUUUCGAGCAGAAGAGGAAUCGUUCCUUCCUGAAUUUACAACAAUUGCGCAGAUACGACCGAAAUAAUCCACGAGUGAAUUUAACUCCGCGGCGCGGUUUGGCGACUGUCGAUUUCUGCCAGAGUUUCGGAACAAGUGAAAACUAUAAUUAGCCCAUUACUCAAUACUGAAUGCGUUGAAAGUGAUCCAAGGCCUCGACAAAAAUACCGUGUCGGUCGGCGACUGGGCGUUAUUCGCGGCGGUCAAGCCGCGAUUGACGACACGCUGGAUUUAAGCUGCGAGCGCGUCAAAGCGAUUACUCUACUUAACUUUAUUAAUAUCACAAUCAGAAGCGCUCUCAUUCCACGUUGAGUAGAGGCUAAUUUCUUGCAACGUGAAUAUCACGAAUAUUCCUCAUCAACUUAGGUGAACAAGUGCCUGCAAUUUUCAAUUUCUGGCUAUUUACUAAUAUCGCUUCUUUUCCUGUCUAAAUCGAAUUUGAAAAAUGGUAAUUUGAAUCUGCACAGAUUUUGAUAUCACUGUACUUUGGUAUAUUCAAACGUCGCGUUAAAUAUUUUACAUUUUCUUGCAGAGAACCGAAAUUUCAAAAAAAUUCUGAAAAAUCAGCUCGUUGCAGAUUGAAUUUGUCAACGAUGUAAUGAGAAUAAGUGGUGAAUAAAUACGUGAAACAAUUUAUGACGGGCCACUUGCCGAAAAGAAGUCCUCGAAUAAUCAGACCAGAGUCAGAGUAGUCUGAAUUGAGUUCCGUCCCGCUUGCGGCGAGGCGGCUUGCAGAUUGUGCUGAAAUCGCGAGUCGCGGGAAUUUCCAUCGGCAUGACCGGACGACCUCUGCCAGAGCUUCCCCUCCGCCUCACCGCACUCUGAUGUAUCCACGAAGAACGAAACGGAGUUGCAGAGUUGGAGAUGGACGGAGAUCGGAUGAAAGAGAAGAAACAUAGGAUUGACGAAGACGGAGCAACGGAGGGAGACAGAGAACAAGAACGGAUGGAGGGACAGAGCGGGAGACGGCAAUCUGGCGUCCACGGUAAAGAAAAGCCCGAAUCGGCCGCUGUUUCUGGUUUCACCGCAUCCCGUGUACAGGACCGCCCUUUUAGAGCGUGUUCCUCGAGGAACCGACUUCGUCUCACAAUCAGACCUUCCCGAAGCAGUCUCAAUGUGGGACCAUUGAAGACGAACAUCAUUAUUAUCGGUCAACGCAGAGAAAAUAGACUGCCGCACGCUGGCUAAGGCUCCGGGCAUCGUCAGUUCCGUAAGCGGUAACACAACCGUUACGCUAACCGAUGUUAUACGUGACCAAAUACAGCUGGGUCUUUGGAACGAAGAGUGCUAUGUAUUAUAGUAUAAUACAAUUCAUGAUAGUUGGCAUUAAGCAUCAUAAAUCAAAUUUUCAAAAUUUCUGUUUUAUUUUUCUACAUUAUCAACAUCUAUUUUAUUAGCGAAAAAGGUUUAACUUAAUAUUUUCAUAGAAAUGUAUUUAAAGAAAAUUUUUAUUUCACGUUUAACUAAAAUUGUGGAAAGUAAUGGCAUGUCAUUUCUAAAUUUGAUUUAAAUUAUAUGGUUCUAUGUAUUCUUAAGAUCAAUCUAUGUACUAUUUUGAAUCGCUGACUAAGAGAUUGCCACGACUUUAAUUACUCUGACAAGGACAUCUAUUAUACUCGUAUCGCGUUGUGCGAAGAGACAAGAUUCUAUCUAGACUCUAUCGUUCUUGAUCGCUGUGACCGAAGAGGAAUCGAAUAAGUAAUGCUACGAUCCCAAUUUUAAUUAAGAAUUUUAUUAGUAAUGUAAGAACACAACAUUUGUUAUUCUUUUAUUAAUGAAUUUAAUAAACUUCUCAUUGACACUGACAUUAAGACUGACUUAUUCUCUUUCUCCCGAAUCAUUCUAUCAUUCCCAUAUCGCUCUAUCGAGGACACCGAAAACGACCGAGAAAAACAUUAGCGAUAAAGAAAAAGAGUCGUGCCAUUACGCAAGCCGUGCCGCCGCGUCGGAUUAACAGUUUCGACACGCAACGAUGCACCUGUAUAACGAUUUUCGUGACGUCGCAGCAAUUUGGCGUGUUUAGCAAACGACUUGACGAGUCAUUAAACAGAGAACACUGGCAAUUAAUUAUCACGUUUGCGUAAUCGCCGCUCGGCGGCGGUGGAGGUGUGGUUGCGCAACUAUCGCUCAUUCUGCUCUGCCAUCUCCGUCCCCCGUGUGGUCUCCGCUGCCUCCCCGGAACCGGGGAUCCCAUCGAUCCCCCUCGUCCCUCUCAUCAACCCUUUCUAUCCGGUACCAAUCAUUCCGCGUGGAAGUCGCGAUCCCGGUCGCGCGCGUGCCGGUAACCUUAAUUUUUCUUCGCGAUUUAAUCCUCCGCACAUGUCCCCCUUUCUCCCUUUUCCUUAAUUGAUCUGAAGCGCACGGCCUGCCAUCGCUCGCUGUGCCAUUUACAUUAUUCGAGUAACGUGACGCUGCAGACUUUAUGCCUCGCGUACCAUCCGGGCUCAAUUGCACGCGUAUCUGUUCUUAAAAUCAAUCGGCCAGUGAAUGUUCCUCAGAGGAUCAAACAUGAAUGUGCCCGCUAUCUAUUAGCAGAGAGAUAAAUGAACGCGUAAUUUCGAAUUACGAAGCCACCAACGUCGACACUUACGUUUAGAGCUCGUCUCGAUGCAUUGAGAGGCGCUCGUACGAUUUCAUGGAACAAAGAUCUAUCUCAAUUUCUAUUGAGUCCCAUCUCAAUUUCCAUUGAGUCCUAUCGUAACACGGAUCACGAUCGUGCCUGGGGAUAGCUAGCUAACGAAACGCGCGUGUCGAUCAGCUGUCAUUGCGCAAGGCGACAGCGAGUUACGCCAGAAUCGUGUAGAAAUUCGAAAAAGGUACUGGCCGAGAGAGGUAACUGCUGUUAAGAGCCAAUUGGUCGACCGUAAUGGUGUGAUUGCCAUUUGUUCGAAACGUCCGGCGACGGUGGAUCCGAUCGCGAGCUUUAACCUUCCGCUCGUUUGCACGUGCUCCGCCAAGUAAUGACGUUACAUAACGCAUUGAUAUCGUUUAGCGGCACACGUUGGAGCGCGCAAUGCUUAACUUGCGAAAGCAACAAUCGUUUUAAUAUUCAUGAAAACUGCCGCGAACAAAUCGCGAUAAACAAGUCGAGGAAAGAAUUUAUUCCAGAUUACGUUAACAAGAAAAUAAUUAAUAUAAUUACGAGCGAUGUAUCACACGAGGGAAACAAUUUACAUAUUCGACAAGAAAUCUUGUUUUCUGCACUAUAGAGCUCUCUUGGACUUUUUAGGAUGACCACUGUUGAUACGUGUCUCACAUAUUUUUACGUUAAUUUUCUCUAUUGUGAAAACACACUGCAACCUUUUCGGUAGGAUCAUCCUCAGUCUUCACGCGCGGUACCAUUUUAACGGCGACAGUGUACGAACCAAGUACAAAGCAACGCUGAUGAAUAUUCAGUGCAAUUCAGCGAGAGCUUUUUUUCCCGUGUACCCCGAUUAAAUCUCCGAAGACCAAAUCCGCCUCACGUUCCUUCCGGCAUUCUUACGAAUUCUCUAUCUCCGACGAACGUGAGAGAAGGUUAAAGGAUUCAAUGAGAACACCGAUCGCUAUUUCGCUGCGGGCGAGCGGCCUACAUGUUUAAGGGACCGAUACAAUGAGCAGCAGAUGAAGUCGGUGUGGUCACGGAAAAAAGGAAACAAGAAAAGAAAAGAAAAGGUAAAAGUAGAACGAAAAGGAAAAAGAAAUUCGUUGCGGUUGCCCCGGUCGGUGUCAAGGGGCGAACGGGCGUGAUAGGGGGCGCCCCGGGAUGGUCAGCGGGGUAAAAAUCCAGGCAUUCUCCGGGAGGUAUGUAUACGGCGGGAGAGACAAGGGACCGGUACGUAAAUCAAGGAAGGACCCGUCCGUAAAGGAAAUGUCGGUUGUGAAGAAAGAGGGAAGACGCCCGGGGCAGGAGGGGGAGGCGGAAAGGACAGGACUUUGUGGUUGCGUGUGGACGGGAGUGCGCGGUCACGAUCGUACAUCACCGCUGGUAUUUACGACGUACCACCGUAAAUCAAUGAUCGCAGGAGCAGCGCGCGAUUCAACGAGAUUCCUUUUCCCUUCCUGCUUAUACGCCUGUCGUCCCUUUCGCUUCGUAUACGCGAGACAACCAGUCUGUGUUGUUCCCUUCGCAUCCGCCUCCCCGAUGCUGCGAUACAUCGUCCUCUUCAACGAAAUCGAUGACGCAGAGGAAUCUCGCGCGGAAGCUGCUGAGCAACGCGAAACGUCGGAAGGACCGGUCUCUGGUGUUCAUGAGCACAAACUACGGAUUCUUUAAUUAAUUUCCACGAGAUUCAUCGGCGCGAAUCAUCCUCUCUUCUUCGACUUUAUGCGGACUCAUCUCGAUGUAACAGACGCGCGCGUUUUAUCUUUAAUCGCACGUCGAAACUAAACGAGGAACGGUAUAAUGCCAUGCACACGGUUAAACGAAGGUAAUCGGCGAAGAAUAGACGAGGGAGGAAUUCGCGUGCCGUCGACAAACGAGACAAAUGAGGUGGACACAAGAGGAAAAAAAGACUAAUCGCAUGGUUUCCCGAGCCACUCCAAAGAGUGGUCAACGGAUCAGAAGAAGGCAGAUCGAACAGUUGGACUUGUAUACCGUCAAGCAUUGUUUGUUCGGGCCCUUUAAAUCUGUUAAAAGCGUGACUCUUACCAGUCCGAAAAGGAUCCCCAUAACGAGAAGGUUUGGGACAGACGGACCAGGUCAGAUCACCUACACCGAGCUCAACGGUUACGCCACGAGGCGUUGCCCUUUGCGUCACGCAGAGUCCCCGAGAAUCAGUCGCUCAGCAACACUGCACAAAGGAGAAGGUUGCUUCUUCUCUUGCAGCUGAUCCCCUAAACCAUAUUACGCGAUCGUUGAGGAUAAGCCGAUCCGCCAAUCACGUCACCCUCUCUGCCUCGAGGAAAAUCACUCAUGCUCUUCGUACUUAAUGCGAAACGCGACGUCUUAGAACGCGAGAUAUCUGGAGUAUCAGAUUUACCUCAAGCGAAUAAAUAUUGUAACAAUUAAGAUCGAAUCGCGACGAGUCUCACAAAUAGUCGGUAUUUUUCUCAUUUAAUUCUGCAAUCUGAUCGUAUCUCUAAGUAAUGAGCUUUGUUCACAGUAACUAAAGUUUGAAUAAUUAAUAAGAGAUUAUACAACAUUAAGC